ACGCUCGACACCUACGGGGGGCAGCAGUGGGGAAUAUUGCACAAUGGGGGAAACCCUGAUGCAGCGACGCCGCGUGAGCGAAGAAGUAUUUCGGUAUGUAAAGCUCUAUCAGCAGGGAAGAAACUGACGGUACCUGACUAAGAAGCACCGGCUAAAUACGUGUCAGCAGCCGCGGUAAUCUGAGCGGGCUGGCAAGGC
This 198-nucleotide ribosomal RNA is filed under the name uncultured bacterium. Its description in RNAcentral is "partial 16S ribosomal RNA". It matches the Rfam family "Bacterial small subunit ribosomal RNA", at positions 328 to 539 of the family's 1533-position model. The record is from RNAcentral.